GCAAGCGUUGUCCGGAUUUAUUGGGCGUAAAGAGCUCGUAGGCGGCCUGUCGCGUCAACCGUGAAAUCCCGUGGCUUAACUGCGGGCGUGCGGUUGAUACGGGUGGGCUAGAGUUCGGUAGGGGAGACUGGAAUUCCUGGUGUAGCGGUGAAAUGCGCAGAUAUCAGGAGGAACACCGGUGGCGAAGGCGGGUCUCUGGGCCGAUACUGACGCUGAGGAGCGAAAGCGUGGGGAGCGAACAGGAUUAGAUACCCUGGUAGUCCACGCCGUAAACGUUGGGCGCUAGGUGUGGGGGACCUUCCCGNUCUUCUGUGCCGUAGCUAACGCA
This 328-nucleotide ribosomal RNA is filed under the name uncultured bacterium. RNAcentral's name for it is "bacterial SSU rRNA". It matches the Rfam family "Bacterial small subunit ribosomal RNA", at positions 534 to 859 of the family's 1533-position model. The record is from RNAcentral.